Mustela lutreola (European mink) is the source of this 2051-nucleotide long non-coding RNA. RefSeq lists it as uncharacterized. The transcript has 3 exons. Lineage: Eukaryota; Metazoa; Chordata; Mammalia; Carnivora; Mustelidae. The record is from RefSeq and is a predicted model, not a curated record.
AGUCGGGAGGGGACGCCGAGGCCCAGCGCGGUGGAUUCGGCCUCUUCCCCCCGGCCCGCCGGCUCCCUUCCCCCUCUCCAACGCGCGCGGAAGGACUUGGCCGACUCCUCGGAGCAGGUGGAGGCUCCCCGCGCCGCGCUUGCCGGGGCCCGUCCUCCGCUGGCCACCGCGCCCCCGCCCCAAACUCUUAGUUCACUCGUGGAUUCGUGUGUCCGUGCGACCCCAGACUGCUUUUGCAAUCAUGGCGACAAUUCCCUCCGACUCCUUUCUCUCCCCCAGCUCGGGGUUUUACUCGCAGGCGGGAGCCCUGGAGGAGACCCGGGAGUAGGAGGGCGAAGGACACUGCCCGGGGCGAGCAGGAAGGGAGCGUGGCGAGGGGUUUGAGGCGCCGGAUUUUACGUCUCCCAGGAGCGGGGUCUUUUCAGCCAAUCCUCUGGCAACCCUGGGUGACGGGCACCAUUAUUGUCUGCAGUGACUGGAGAAAUACUGAUGUUCAGAGAGUGAUCAUUCUGAAGUCAGACGGUCAUAAACGGCAACGCACAUUAGAGCAAGCAGCGCCGGCUGCAGAGACCAGCGAACCCCCAAACCGCAGGGUCGAAAAACCGCAGGAGAUGACUUUCCGCUGACAUCCAGCCCCUGGGACUCCGUCUCGCUGCUCCGGCGGGACGCAACACGUUGCAGGCAGCCUCGGCACAGGCCCGACAAAGCGAUAAAGGAGGAAUGACGAUCCCUAAAGGCCUUAGCCCUUCCUCGCAGAGCCCAGUGGCAAGAAUGAGUCACGGGCCCCAGCCUAACCGCAAAAGAGGUCGGACCCCUGGGGGAAAACGGGGGUAUUGAGUGAGCACUAACGGGACUGCUCCAUCCCAAAGCCUCAGCUCGCAACUUUCUCAAGACAGCUUUUGUUCGGGUUUGUCCGUUUAGGCACGUGAGGAUAGUUAAUAGUUUUUCUCCUUUUUCUGCUUCAAAUAGUUACACCAAAAAGAACACUCAGGUAACACCCAAGUAUACACUGAUGGGCUCUGCUUUCACCUAGCCUCUUCACAGGCUCAACCACAGCAAACACAGACAAACAUUUCUCUCUGCUUAACAGAAUUCUUCUGAUGAAAAGAAAGUCAUAAUUUAUAGGCUUUCUUGUAACAUGGAUUGUUUUUUUUUUCUCCCACUGAACAAUAUAGUUAAGCCACAGUGUUCUAAGCCAAAUCAUAUUGGUCUAUCUCAUUCUUGUUAAGAGCUGCUUGGGUUUAUAGUAUAUGGACAGGUCUUUACAUUUUUGGCCUACCCUCUGUUGAAGAACAUUUACGUUGUUCCCAGUUUUUUGCUGUUAUAAAUAAUAUGGCACUAAAUGUCCUUAUAAAAGUCCUUUGUGCACUUACACAAUUAUCGCCUUGGGAUAAAUUUUGGAGGUGAAGGUGUUGGGUCAAAGGGAUGCAUAUUUUUCAUUUUGAUACCUAUCAUUUAAUCUUUGUAAAUCUCAAACGGCAAAAUGGCAUUUUGCUUAACACUACUUAUUAGCUAUGUCACCUCAGGCAUCUUACCCUCCUUGAACCUCAGAUUCCUUGCCUAGGAGAUGGACAUUAUAAUAAAAGUCCGUUACUCUAAGUCCUCCCAGGACUUUUAUUUGCAUAAAAUAAAAUAAAAUUGCUUAGCACCAUAUCUGACACAUGGUAGCCACUUAACAGGUGUUAACCAAGUGAAAUAUAGGUAUUUUUAAAAUCUCAUUUUAUUUGCUCAUUAGUAAAGUAAAGCAAUUUUUUCUUAUAUUUAUUGUAUUUCUUGGUAUGUGUCUGAAUGACCUCUUUGUAUUUCUCUGUUAGUUGGGUUUUUUAUUCUGUGUAGAACUGUAAGAGUUCUUCAUAUAUUCAGUAUAUUAAUCCUCUUCUGUGAAUUUAGGUAUUGCUUUAGAGAACGGGAAUGUCUAUUCACCAUUUAUUUUUGUGGGAAAUGAUGGUUUCCCCAGCAGUAUCACUAGAAGGAUAUGGAAGACCUACUCCCCUCCCAAAAAAGGGGCUUCGUACCUAGGAUUUUUUUCCUGGAAUAAACAAAAAUCCCAA